UGCUUCCGUACCUGGAUUGGGUCCAGGGC
Molecule: non-coding RNA, 29 nt
Filed under: Mus musculus (house mouse)
Lineage: Eukaryota; Metazoa; Chordata; Mammalia; Rodentia; Muridae
Source: RNAcentral